GACGAACGCUAGCGGCGUGCUUAACACAUGCAAGUCGAACGGAAAGACCCUGCUUUUGUGGGGUGCUCGAGUGGCGAACGGGUGAGUAACACGUGAGUAACCUGCCCUUGACUUUGGGAUAACUUCAGGAAACUGGGGCUAAUACCGGAUAGGAGCUACUGCUGCAUGGUGGGGGUUGGAAAGUUUCGGCGGUUGGGGAUGGACUCGCGGCUUAUCAGCUUGUUGGUGGGGUAGUGGCUUACCAAGGCUUUGACGGGUAGCCGGCCUGAGAGGGUGACCGGCCACAUUGGGACUGAGAUACGGCCCAGACUCCUACGGGAGGCAGCAGUGGGGAAUAUUGCACAAUGGGCGGAAGCCUGAUGCAGCAACGCCGCGUGCGGGAUGACGGCCUUCGGGUUGUAAACCGCUUUCGCCUGUGACGAAGCGUGAGUGACGGUAAUGGGUAAAGAAGCACCGGCUAACUACGUG
RNAcentral lists this ribosomal RNA (468 nucleotides) under uncultured bacterium. RNAcentral describes it as "partial 16S ribosomal RNA". It matches the Rfam family "Bacterial small subunit ribosomal RNA", at positions 28 to 507 of the family's 1533-position model. The record is from RNAcentral.